Molecule: ribosomal RNA, 254 nt
Filed under: uncultured bacterium
Lineage: Bacteria
Description: partial 16S ribosomal RNA
Rfam family: Bacterial small subunit ribosomal RNA
Source: RNAcentral
UACGUAGGGGGCGAGCGUUGUCCGGAUUUAUUGGGCGUAAAACGCUUGUAGGCGGCCACCGCGCGUCGGACGUGAAAUCUCCCGGCUCAACUGGGAGGGGUCGUGCGAUACGGCGAGGCUCGAGGCCGGUAGGGGGACGCGGAAUUCCCGGUGUAGUGGUGGAAUGCGUAGAUAUCAGGAAGAACACCAACGGCGAAGGCAGCUCGCUAGGACGGUACUGACGCUGAGACGCGAAAGCGUGGGGAGCGAACAGG